Oryzias melastigma (Indian medaka) is the source of this 396-nucleotide long non-coding RNA. RefSeq lists it as uncharacterized. The record is from RefSeq and is a predicted model, not a curated record. The transcript has 3 exons. Lineage: Eukaryota; Metazoa; Chordata; Actinopteri; Beloniformes; Adrianichthyidae.
CCCCCCUAGAGGGAGACAGAAGGGUCGAGAUACAUAACCGUGCACAGGGAAGGAGUUUCAUGAUGAGGGAUAAGGGAAAGCUUUUCAGGGGAAUUAAUGACAUAUUGUAUUUUAUUUACAGUUGUUUAUAUUUUCACAAAAACUUUUAAAUGUUGUUUUCUCACCUCUGUGACAAGAAGAAGAUCGAGAAGAAAGCAAACAGUGCAGAGACAAAGCAGCAGCAGCUCUCUGCGGAUCACCAUGAUGAAGAAACACACGGCCCACAGCUGAGCUGUUCCUGCAGCUGGCCCAGGGAACCUCAGCACUGAAGGAGGAGAAGAGGUAGAAGAAAGCCCACGCCUGGAUGACAAUGUACGACACGGCUGCGUAUGCAAUCACGACCUGGGUUGCAUAGCC